UGSGCAKCUAUSAUGSAGUCGMGYGGACAGAAGGGAGCKUGCUCCCGGAUGUUAGCGGCGGASGGSUGAGUAAYACGUGGGUAACCUGCSUGKAAGACUGGGAUAACUCCGGGAAACCGGAGCUAAUACCGGAUAGUUCCUUGAACCGCAUGGUUCAAGGAUGAAAGACGGUUUCGGSUGUSACUUACAGAUGGACCCGCGGCGSAUUAGCUAGUUGGUGGGGUAAUGGSUCACCAAGGCGACGAUGCGUAKSCGASCUGAGAGGGYGAUSGGCSASACUGGGACUGAGACACGGCCCAGACUMCUACGGGAGGCAGCAGUAGGGAAUCUUCCGCAAUGGACGAAAGUCUGACGGAGCAACGCCGCGUGAGUGAUGAAGGUUUUCGGAUCGUAAAGCUCUGUUGUUAGGGAAGAACAAGUGCGAGAGUAACUGCUCGCACCUUGACGGUACCUAACCAGAAAGCCACGGCUAACUACGUGCCAGCAGCCGCGGUAAUACGUAGGUGGCAAGCGUUGUCCGGAAUUAUUGGGCGUAAAGGGCUCGCAGGCGGUUUCUUAAGUCUGAUGUGAAAGCCCCCGGCUCAACCGGGGAGGGUCAUUGGAAACUGGGAAACUUGAGUGCAGAAGAGGAGAGUGGAAUUCCACGUGUAGCGGUGAAAUGCGUAGAGAUGUGGAGGAACACCAGUGGCGAAGGCGACUCUCUGGUCUGUAACUGACGCUGAGGAGCGAAAGCGUGGGGAGCGAACAGGAUUAGAUACCCUGGUAGUCCACGCCGUAAACGAUGAGUGCUAAGUGUUAGGGGGUUUCCGCCCCUUAGUGCUGCAGCUAACGCAUUAAGCACUCCGCCUGGGGAGUACGGUCGCAAGACUGAAACUCAAAGGAAUUGACGGGGGCCCGCACAAGCGGUGGAGCAUGUGGUUUAAUUCGAAGCAACGCGAAGAACCUUACCAGGUCUUGACAUCCUCUGACACCCUAGAGAUAGGGCUUUCCCUUCGGGGACAGAGUGACAGUGUGCAUGAUGUCGUCAGCUCGUGUCGUGAGAUGGUGGCUAAGUCCGCACCGAGCGCAUCCAUGAUCUAGCUUGCCAGCAUUCAGUGGUCACUCUAGUUGACUGACCGGU
This 1120-nucleotide ribosomal RNA is filed under the name Bacillus pumilus. Its description in RNAcentral is "partial 16S ribosomal RNA". It matches the Rfam family "Bacterial small subunit ribosomal RNA", at positions 43 to 1157 of the family's 1533-position model. The record is from RNAcentral. Lineage: Bacteria; Bacillati; Bacillota; Bacilli; Caryophanales; Bacillaceae.